UACAGAGGUCCCAAGCGUUGUUCGGAUUCACUGGGCGUAAAGGGUGCGUAGGUGGUGAGGUGUGUCGGAUGUGAAAUCUCGGAGCUUAACUCCGAAACUGCAUUGGAAACUACCUUGCUAGAGGGUUGGAGGGGGGACUGGAAUACUUGGUGUAGCAGUGAAAUGCGUAGAUAUCAAGUGGAACACCAGUGGCGAAGGCGAGUCCCUGGACAACUCCUGACACUGAGGCACGAAAGCUAGGGGAGCAAACAGG
Molecule: ribosomal RNA, 253 nt
Filed under: uncultured bacterium
Lineage: Bacteria
Description: partial 16S ribosomal RNA
Rfam family: Bacterial small subunit ribosomal RNA
Source: RNAcentral